CUGUUGGAGUGCACGUCCAAGCAGUGAGAUUGAGUGUUAGGCAAAUCCGGCACUCUUAAGAUUGAGCUGUGAUGGGGAGAGGAACUUGUUCCUCGAGUCGUUGAUUUCACACUGCCGAGAAAAGCCUCUAGCUAGAAUAACGGUGCCCGUACCGCAAACCGACACAGGUAGUCAAGAUGAGAAUUCUAAGGUGAGCGAGCGAACUCUCGUUAAGGAACUCGGCAAAAUGACCCCGUAACUUCGGGAGAAGGGGUGCUCUUUGAGGUUCACGCUUCGAAGAGCCGCAGUGAAUAGGCCCAAGCGACUGUUUAUCAAAAACACAGGUCUCUGCUAAACCGUAAGGUGACGUAUAGGGGCUGACGCCUGCCCGGUGCUGGAAGGUUAAGAGGAGUGGUUAGCGCAAGCGAAGCUACGAAUCGAAGCCCCAGUAAACGGCGGCCGUAACUAUAACGGUCCUAAGGUAGCGAAAUUCCUUGUCGGGUAAGUUCCGACCCGCACGAAAGGCGUAACGAUUUGGGCACUGUCUCAACGAGAGACUCGGUGAAAUCAUAGUACCGGUGAAGAUGCCGGUUACCCGCGACAGGACGGAAAGACCCCGUGGAGCUUUACUGUAGCCUGAUAUUGAAAUUCGGUACAGUUUGUACAGGAUAGGUAGGAGCCUUAGAAGCGUGAGCGCUAGCUUACGUGGAGGCAUUGGUGGGAUACUACCCUAAUUGUAUUGGAUUUCUAACCCGCAGCACUUAUCGUGCUGGGAGACAGUGUCAGGCGGGCAGUUUGACUGGGGCGGUCGCCUCCUAAAGAGUAACGGAGGCGCUCAAAGGUUCCCUCAGAAUGGUUGGAAAUCAUUCAUAGAGUGUAAAGGCAUAAGGGAGCUUGACUGCGAGACCUACAAGUCGAGCAGGGUCGAAAGACGGACUUAGUGAUCCGGUGGUUCCGCAUGGAAGGGCCAUCGCUCAACGGAUAAAAGCUACCCCGGGGAUAACAGGCUUAUCUCCCCCAAGAGUUCACAUCGACGGGGAGGUUUGGCACCUCGAUGUCGGCUCAUCGCAUCCUGGGGCUGUAGUCGGUCCCAAGGGUUGGGCUGUUCGCCCAUUAAAGCGGUACGCGAGCUGGGUUCAGAACGUCGUGAGACAGUUCGGUCCCUAUCCGUCGUGGGCGUAGGAAAUUUGAGAGGAGCUGUCCUUAGUACGAGAGGACCGGGAUGGACAUACCUCUGGUGUACCAGUUGUCGUGCCAACGGCAUAGCUGGGUAGCUAUGUAUGGACGGGAUAAGUGCUGAAAGCAUCUAAGCAUGAAGCCCCCCUCGAGAUGAGAUUUCCCAACUUCGGUUAUAAGAUCCCUCAAAGAUGAUGAGGUGAAUAGGUUCGAGGUGGAAGCGUAGUGAUACGUGGAGCUGACGAAUACUAAUCGAUCGAAGACUUAAUCAA
RNAcentral lists this ribosomal RNA (1427 nucleotides) under Staphylococcus pseudintermedius. RNAcentral's name for it is "partial 23S ribosomal RNA". It matches the Rfam family "Bacterial large subunit ribosomal RNA", at positions 1495 to 2925 of the family's 2925-position model. The record is from RNAcentral. Lineage: Bacteria; Bacillati; Bacillota; Bacilli; Caryophanales; Staphylococcaceae.